CGCAGACGUCCAGUCUGCACAGAGAGGACCUCCAGAGGGGUCUCCACUAUGGACAACCCGGACCCCCGCCAUCAGACAGUGAUUGGCUAAGUGGGCCGUCACCUGAGUGCUCCGGGGCCUAUUUCUUCCAAUAUUCACAGAACAGUCCUAAACCCUUCUCAGCCCCUGUGUCCACAGACAAGAACAUCCAAACAGCACUUAAGGAUUCGCACCGCGCCAAAAAACCUGGACCGUCAAGCCCGUUCUGUUCAACUCAAAACGCAAUGUUUUCCUAACUGAAGAGUCUUUCGCAACCGGCAGAUUUGUGGUUGUCACAGCAGCAGGAAAGGUUUGCACCCGGCGGAGCUGGAAUUCUCCAUCUGGAAGGAGACGACGGAAGAAGAAGAAGAAGAAGAGAACUGGGCUGCAGGGUGACGGCGAAAAUG
Long non-coding RNA from Hyla sarda, 425 nucleotides. RefSeq lists it as uncharacterized. Lineage: Eukaryota; Metazoa; Chordata; Amphibia; Anura; Hylidae. The transcript has 3 exons. The record is from RefSeq and is a predicted model, not a curated record.